This is a long non-coding RNA of Anopheles coustani, 478 nucleotides long. RefSeq lists it as uncharacterized. Lineage: Eukaryota; Metazoa; Arthropoda; Insecta; Diptera; Culicidae. The record is from RefSeq and is a predicted model, not a curated record. The transcript has 4 exons.
GCUGACCUCUGAGCGAACCAGACGUGUCAUACUGGGGUCUUCUGUUGUUCUGCAAAUGUGUAUGUGUGUGUGUGUGUGUCAGUGCGGCUUGGUAAUAUAAGCUUAUGCGUAAUCGGCUUUGAGUUGGCAGAGAGUACUUUCUUCAAAGAGAAAUUUCAAACAACUUGGCAGAUCACUAAUAUUUUUUAACUGUCGAUCGACGAAAUCGUGAAAGUGCUGUGCGGUCGAGUUAUCCUCCAGUAGUCGGAGAGCGCAACAUCUGGAUAAGAUGUUAUCGAAGUGAGAUGCCCUCUUGAAGUUCUUCAUAACACGUUUCUUCUUCCAACGGUAUGUUAUUCAUACGGUAAGGUAUCAGUCUAAACGCAUCACGCCGAAAUCUUUAAGUAAAGUUGUUUUGUCCAUAAUAUACCGGCGAUGCAAUAAUACGCCACUUAAAAACAGUCACCGAGACCAUCCAAGUAAUGUUACCAUCCCCUGU